This 244-nucleotide ribosomal RNA is filed under the name uncultured anaerobic ammonium-oxidizing bacterium. Its description in RNAcentral is "partial 16S ribosomal RNA". It matches the Rfam family "Bacterial small subunit ribosomal RNA", at positions 439 to 674 of the family's 1533-position model. The record is from RNAcentral.
GGAGUUAGGAAAUGUAGACUCGCUAAUAUCGGGUCUAUUUGACAAAGGCUCCAAAGGAAGCCACGGCUAACUCUGUGCCAGCAGCCGCGGUAAUACAGAGGUGGCAAGCGUUGUUCGGAAUUAUUGGGCGUAAAGAGCACGUAGGUGGAUUUGUAAGUCAGACGUGAAAGCCUUCUGUUCAACGGAAGAAUUGCAUCUGAAACUACAAACCUUGAGUGUAGGAGGGGAGAGUGGAACUUCUGGU